CGACGAAAAUCUCUCUUUUGUCUACCCCUAUCCCGAUGAGCCGAAACCAAAGCUCUUAUUUUUUGUUGAGUAAUAGUCCGAGUAAGUCUUAAAAAUUGAUCACAGGGAAUUGUGCCUGUGUUAUGUGCGUACCUUGAGAAACAAAUAAAAAAGGAAACUCUCUCAACUCUCAACUCUCAACUCUUGCUCUCUGGAUCUUAAAGACUAGUGAAGAUUUGAACUCCCAAGCUCUCAAACUCUCAAACAGCAAAUGGAAGCCCUCACCAACCUAAGCCCUAAACCGCCCAAAACGAUGAGCAGCGCCGGCAUCGGAUCCCCCGCCACAAUGUCGCCGUCGUCGAGUCCGCCUCGGCUGUGCUCCUCCAAUCCCUCGCGUACCUCCCACCGCACCACCGACCUCGGGUUCCGGCUCCGACGACCGCGUCGACGAGAAGGAGAUGUCCGUCGUCAUCAAUAGCGUGACCAAAGCCGCCAACCGCCACGACAUGCUCUGCGACGACGCCGUUAGUCACCUCAAUUCCUCG
RNAcentral lists this long non-coding RNA (524 nucleotides) under Rosa chinensis. RNAcentral's name for it is "sRNA RchiOBHm_Chr1g0382241". The record is from RNAcentral. Lineage: Eukaryota; Viridiplantae; Streptophyta; Magnoliopsida; Rosales; Rosaceae.